UACGGAGGGUGCAAGCGUUUGUCCGGAUUUAUUGGGUUUAAAGGGUGCGUAGGCGGCUUUUUAAGUCAGUGGUGAAAGACAACAGCUCAACUGUUGCAGUGCCAUUGAUACUGAAGAGCUUGAGUACAGAUGAGGUAGGCGGAAUUUAUGGUGUAGCGGUGAAAUGCAUAGAUACCAUAAAGAACACCUAUUGCGAAGGCAGCUUACUAGCUGUAACUGACGCUGAGGCACGAAAGUGUGGGGAUCAAACAGGG
RNAcentral lists this ribosomal RNA (254 nucleotides) under uncultured bacterium. RNAcentral's name for it is "partial 16S ribosomal RNA". It matches the Rfam family "Bacterial small subunit ribosomal RNA", at positions 524 to 777 of the family's 1533-position model. The record is from RNAcentral.